This 703-nucleotide ribosomal RNA is filed under the name uncultured Burkholderiales bacterium. RNAcentral's name for it is "bacterial SSU rRNA". It matches the Rfam family "Bacterial small subunit ribosomal RNA", at positions 94 to 793 of the family's 1533-position model. The record is from RNAcentral. Lineage: Bacteria; Pseudomonadati; Pseudomonadota; Betaproteobacteria; Burkholderiales.
AGCGGCGGACGGGUGAGUAACGCGUAGGAAUCUACCUAAUGGUGGGGGAUAGCCCAGGGAAACUUGGAUUAAUACCGCAUAAGUCCUAAGGGAGAAAGCGGGGGACCUUCGGGCCUCGCGCGAUUGGAGCGGCCGAUGUUAGAUUAGGUAGUUGGUGGGGUAAAGGCUCACCAAGCCGACGAUCUAUAGCUGGUCUGAGAGGACGACCAGCCACACUGGAACUGAGACACGGUCCAGACUCCUACGGGAGGCAGCAGUGGGGAAUUUUGGACAAUGGGCGCAGGCCUGAUCCAGCAAUACCGCGUGCAGGAAGAAGGCCUUCGGGUUGUAAACUGCUUUUGUACGGAACGAAAAGGCUCUUUCUAAUAAAGAGGGCUCAUGACGGUACCGUAAGAAUAAGCACCGGCUAACUACGUGCCAGCAGCCGCGGUAAUACGUAGGGUGCGAGCGUUAAUCGGAAUUACUGGGCGUAAAGCGUGCGCAGGCGGUUUUGUAAGACAGACGUGAAAUCCCCGGGCUCAACCUGGGAAUUGCGUUUGUGACUGCAAGGCUAGAGUACGGUAGAGGGGGGUAGAAUUCCGCGUGUAGCAGUGAAAUGCGUAGAUAUGCGGAGGAACACCGAUGGCGAAGGCAGCCCCCUGGACCUGUACUGACGCUCAUGCACGAAAGCGUGGGGAGCAAACAGGAUUAGAUACCCUGGUAG